This is a non-coding RNA of Phalacrocorax carbo (great cormorant), 780 nucleotides long. The record is from RefSeq and is a predicted model, not a curated record. NCBI's taxonomy places the organism in Eukaryota, Metazoa, Chordata, Aves, Suliformes, Phalacrocoracidae.
CGGCUCCCUCCCUGGCAGGCGGGCCCGCGGAGCGGUGAUAAGAGGGAGCUGCGGCCUCCUCCUGCCCGCUUCCCCCUGAGAGCAGCCGAAAUGCUGGAUUUCUCCCCCAAAACGGGGAUGCGGCAGUGGCAUAGAGGGGCCUUGUCACCUUCACUCCCCCAAAACACCUCAGUGCUGAAUUUUGCCACAGGUGUCCCGAUCCUGGACGUACGUAAGGUUUUGCAGGUUGAGGACCUUGCUGUUACGUCUGCCUGCGUGGCGUUUUCAUGUCAAAGCAGGAGCUGCAUGAGCGGCGCGGGGUACGCAGCAGGUGGAAGAUUUGAUUCUGAUCUGCUUGACGCUGGUGUAAAGGAAGAGUCAUGUCCUGGAACUGAAUGGAUACACAACGGUACAAAGGAGGAUGAGAUCAGAAGCAAGCUCUAUUACUGCUAGACUGCUAGACUGCUAGACUGCUUACUAUGAUUCUUUCAUCCUUGAAAGAAUCAUAGAGACUUACAGUUGACUUUUCAGCUCCUCAUGUAUUUUGGGGCACAAGAGCUAUUGGUCACAGAGAAAAUAAAUGCUCUCUUUUCAAGCUGGUUUCCAUUUUUUUUUUGUUGCUUUUUAUUUCAAGUCCAUACCAGAGUAGGAAGAACUGCAGGUGAUGAUCAGUUUGUGGUUCUUAAAUUUACGAAAGUGGCAGAAAAGUCUUGUGUUCAAAUAAAAUGGGGCACUUUUCUGUAAAACAGGCUGUCAAGCACUGCCUCUUAAUGCGGAACAAUAAAAUAAUCUUUUCAAGCA